ACCAUAUAUUAAUAAAGGAGCAAAUCAUGUUUAUAAAAAAAUUUUAUAAACAUGAUUUGCUCCUUUAUUAAUAUAUGGU
Non-coding RNA from Pelobates cultripes (western spadefoot toad), 79 nucleotides. Lineage: Eukaryota; Metazoa; Chordata; Amphibia; Anura; Pelobatidae. The record is from the annotation of a GenBank genome assembly.